RNAcentral lists this long non-coding RNA (616 nucleotides) under Monodelphis domestica (gray short-tailed opossum). RNAcentral describes it as "lncRNA (ENSMODG00000040716.1)". Lineage: Eukaryota; Metazoa; Chordata; Mammalia; Didelphimorphia; Didelphidae. The record is from RNAcentral.
CUUAAAAGUAAUUAAUUGAUAGCAUUGACAUUCACCAUUUCGUUUCAGGUUUUCCAGUGUGGGCUAGGGAAGCUCUCUAGAAGUUCUUUGGAGGUUUGCAUCCCACUCUCUUUGCUGUGUGAUUCAAGAGGAAUUCACUGACCUCCAAAUAAACACCAUUUUAGGAUGAGAAGCUUCUGAGAUUUGGGAAUCUACAGACAAUUUGGAAGCUUGUCAGGAUUAUUCUGCAAAGUCAACCAAAAGAGGAGGGCUGGAGUUCACAGAUUAUUAGCACCGAAUGUUGGAUUCAGAGGUUAUUAGCCACGUAUGGCAAAUGGAGUUCCUUUUCUGCCAGAGGGAAUACAGGUUCCAUUUCCCACAAGAAGCUGUUGUGCCAAGUUCACUGGUUUCUAGCAGCUGCUGGGGAUGGACUGGCUCCACUUUCCCUGGAAUACCUACCCAUUGCUGAGAUAGCUGACCAGGAUCAAGUGAGGAAACUGUUCCAAGGAGAUUGUGAUUGUCUAGUUUCAUAUUGAUGAUGUAUCAAAGUCAGGAUUGGAUCCUCUGUUCUCUGGUCUAAGAGCUUUUGUUCAUUCCACCAUUUUAGUGAUGAUAAGAUACAUGGAUGAAUAAUUCC